This 440-nucleotide ribosomal RNA is filed under the name uncultured bacterium. RNAcentral describes it as "partial 16S ribosomal RNA". It matches the Rfam family "Bacterial small subunit ribosomal RNA", at positions 338 to 795 of the family's 1533-position model. The record is from RNAcentral.
CCUACGGGCGGCAGCAGUGGGGAAUAUUGCACAAUGGGGGAAACUCUGAUCCAGCGAAGCCGCGUGAGUGAAGACGUAUUUCUGUAUGUAAAGCUUUAUCUGCAGGGAAGAAAAAGAAGGUACCUGACUCAGAAGCCACGGCUAACUACGUGACAGCAGCCGUGGUAAUACGGAGGGGGCAAGCGUUAUCCGGAUUUACUGGGUGUAAAGGGAGCGUAGACGGGAGAGCAAGUCUGAUGUGAAAGCCUGCGGCCCAACUGCGGGACUGCAUUGGAUACUGCCCGUCUAGAGUACUGGAGAGGUAAGCGGAAUUCGUGGUGUAGCGGUGAAAUGCUUAGAUAUUAGGAAGAACACCAGUUGCGAAGGCAGCUUACUGAACAGUAACUGACGUUGAUGCUCGAAAGCGUGGGGAGCAAACAGGAUUAGAUACCCCUGUAGUC